GAUGAACGCUGGCGGCGUGCCUAACACAUGCAAGUCGAACGGAAAGGCCCUGCUUUUGUGUGGUUCUCGAGUGGCGAACGGGUGAGUAACACGUGUGUAACCUGCCCCUGACUUUGGGAUAACAUCUGGAAACUGGGGCUAAUACCGGAGAGGAGCUUCUGCUGCAUGGUGGGGGUUGGAAAGUUUCGGCGGUUGGGGAUAGACUCGCGGCUUAUGAGCUUGUUGGUGGGGUAGUGCCGUACCAAGGCUUAGACGGAUAGCCGGCCUGGGAGGGUGACCAGGGUCAUGAGGACUGAGGGAGGGCGCAGACGGGAACGGGAGGCAGCGGGGGGGAAUAUGACGCAGUGGGGGGGAGUGUGAUGCGGAGGCGCCGGGUGCGGAAAGAAGGCCUUCGGGUGGUAAACCGAUUUCGCCUGAGACGAAGCGUGAGUGACGGUAAUGGGUAAAGAAGCACCGGCUAACUACGUG
RNAcentral lists this ribosomal RNA (468 nucleotides) under uncultured bacterium. Its description in RNAcentral is "partial 16S ribosomal RNA". It matches the Rfam family "Bacterial small subunit ribosomal RNA", at positions 28 to 507 of the family's 1533-position model. The record is from RNAcentral.